GUCAAUGUCGUGGCAGUAGCCGCGGUAAGAAGGACCGGGGGAACGUUGGUUGGAAGCCGUGGGCUUAAAGGGGUGUUGGGGGGCUUGUCAAGUCCGGGGGGAAAGCCCCCAGCUCAACUGGGGAAGGGCCUUGGAUACUGAUGGGCUCGAGGGAGGUAGGGGCCCGCGGAACUUCUGGUGGAGCGGUGAAAUGCGUUGAUAUCAGAAGGAACGCCGGUGGCGAAAGCGGCGGGCUGGAUCUCUACUGACGCUGAGGCGCGAAAGCCAGGGGAGCAAACGGGAUUAGAUACCCGAGUAGUC
RNAcentral lists this ribosomal RNA (300 nucleotides) under uncultured Vulcanisaeta sp. RNAcentral describes it as "bacterial SSU rRNA". It matches the Rfam family "Bacterial small subunit ribosomal RNA", at positions 495 to 795 of the family's 1533-position model. Lineage: Archaea; Thermoproteati; Thermoproteota; Thermoprotei; Thermoproteales; Thermoproteaceae. The record is from RNAcentral.